Molecule: ribosomal RNA, 499 nt
Filed under: uncultured bacterium
Lineage: Bacteria
Description: bacterial SSU rRNA
Rfam family: Bacterial small subunit ribosomal RNA
Source: RNAcentral
GACGAACGCUGGCGGCGUGGAUUAGGCAUGCAAGUCGAACGGUAGGAUACCUUCGGGUAUCUGAGAGUGGCGAACGGGUGAGUAACACGUAGGUGAUCUACCCUCAAGAUUGGGACAACCCAGGGAAACUUGGGCUAAUACCGGAUGAAAGCAGCAGUGAUGUUGUUUGAAAGGUGGCGUAAGCUGCCGUUUGGGGGAUGAGCCUGCGCUCUAUUAGUUAGUUGGCGGGGUAAAGGCCCACCAAGGCGAUGAUAGAUAGGCGGCCUUAACGGGUGGUCGCCCACACUGGGAUUGAGAUACGGCCCAGACUCCUACGGGAGGCAGCAGUCGAGAAUAGUCUACAAUGGCCGAAAGGCUGAUAGUGCGACGCCGCGUGAACGAAGAAGCCCUUCGGGUGUAAAGUUCUUUUAUAUGUGAGCAGUGCUUUCUAUUGUGAACAGCAGUGGGGAGAGAGAUAUUAAGCAUAUGAAUAAGCCACGGCUAACUACGUGCCAGCACG